CCUACGGGAGGCUGCAGUGAGGAAUAUUUGUCAAUGGGCGCGAGCCUGAACCAGCCAAGUCGCGUGAGGGAAGACAGUCCUAUGGAUUGUAAACCUCUUUUGUCGGGGAGCAAAAGACGCCACGCGUGGCGUUCCGAGAGUACCCGAAGAAAAAGCAUCGGCUAACUCCGUGCCAGCAGCCGCGGUAAUACGGAGGAUGCGAGCGUUAUCCGGAGUUAUUGGGUUUAAAGGGUGCGCAGGCGGAAGAUCAAGUCAGCGGUAAAAUUGAGAGGCUCAACCUCUUCGAGCCGUUGAAACUGGUGUUCUUGAGUGAGCGAGAAGUAAGCGGAAUGCGUGGUGUAGCGGUGAAAUGCAUAGAUAUCACGCAGAACUCCGAUUGCGAAGGCAGCAUACCGGCGCUCAACUGACGCUCAUGCACGAAAGUGUGGGUAUCGAACAGGAUUAGAUACCCCGGUAGUC
RNAcentral lists this ribosomal RNA (459 nucleotides) under uncultured bacterium. Its description in RNAcentral is "partial 16S ribosomal RNA". It matches the Rfam family "Bacterial small subunit ribosomal RNA", at positions 338 to 795 of the family's 1533-position model. The record is from RNAcentral.